UCCAGAGUUUGAUCAUGGCUCAGGAUGAUACGCUGCGGCAUGCCUUAAUACAUGCAAGUCGUGCGGGGGUCUUCGGACCCUAGCGGCGAACGGGUGAGUAACACGUGGGCAACCUGCCCGUAAGACUGGGAUAACUCCGGGAAACCGGUGCUAAUACCAGAUAAUCUCUUUCUCCGCAUGGAGAAAGAGUAAAAGGCUUCGGCCACUUGCGGAGAACCCGCGGC
Molecule: ribosomal RNA, 224 nt
Filed under: Laceyella sacchari
Lineage: Bacteria; Bacillati; Bacillota; Bacilli; Caryophanales; Thermoactinomycetaceae
Description: partial 16S ribosomal RNA
Rfam family: Bacterial small subunit ribosomal RNA
Source: RNAcentral